This is a long non-coding RNA of Dromaius novaehollandiae (emu), 1703 nucleotides long. NCBI's taxonomy places the organism in Eukaryota, Metazoa, Chordata, Aves, Casuariiformes, Dromaiidae. The record is from Ensembl.
AGCUGAGAAAGUCUCUCACUAAUCCUCUCUUAUUCUUUGAAACAGCCAGGGCUCAAAAGGAUUUGCAGCAUGUUUCUGAGGACGAAAUACUGGUGAUUAACGUUUGUGCCAGGGCUACCUCUCAUAUAUCUUUAAUUAAAGUUACACAAAACAGUGGACAGAUUAAGGGGAGGUGCCAGAAUUCACAGGGGAAAAGGUAACACUUCUGAAAGAGCUGGUCUGUACAGUCUGGAAAUGCUACUUGCUGCAGGAUAGCUUACGGGAAACUGUUACCAAACUGCUGAAACUGAAACAACAGAAACUAGCACCAGCACCGCAGUCAGCCGUUCCAAUCUCCGACACCAUGCAGGGUACACUGACCGUCACUGGUAUCAGCAAGAAUACCAAGAGAGCUGCCAAUCUAUUAGCAUCAGGUCUCCUGCUCCUGAUCGGGUUACUGUUCUCCAGGGGAAGAAACAAGAUGCCAUUUCCACAAUACUGGGCACCAAACCUCAGAGCACUCUGCAAGUGUGCUUUGGUUGACCAAAGAAGAGGAUUUGAAAAUAAAAGAGAAAUUCAAGCAGGAGGAAUUGCGUCCACAGAAUCAAUGACCACGUCAGCCACUGAAUUCCAAAGUGCGAAAUUCCCAUCAAUCAUUAACCAGAGAAGAAAAACAAGCCCUACAUUGUGCAUCGCCGAACCGCUGCAUGCUGGGUGCUCUUAAUAUAAAUAUUUGGGGUACAUGUUUUAAAAUUAACUGCAUAAAAAUAAUCACAGGUUAAAGAAGAAAAGCAACAGUCUGUGGUGCAUUUAAAGCUUUAUACUACUUUCAUGCCAUAGGUGUCACAACAAAUUAAAUUUUAGUGAGGGGAACUUCUGUGAGCUUGCAUAGCCUUAAUUUUCACCAGAAUCAAACAAUAUGGAGAAUUUUAGAAAACUUCCAAAGCUAAUAGCAGAGAGAACAGACAAUCCUAGGAAGGAGUUAGUUACAUUACUGGAYGACCCAGUCAAUGCAGCCCUUAUCUAAACUGAGCUGCUCCUCUGUUGCACYGUAUGUGGGAAUGUGCAAGCCACCAGCCUGAGGAUGUGGGGGUCAAACCCCCCUGCCCCCUUGGUAAAGAAAAGCCUCCAGAGCACCCCACGAGGGGAGCAUGAGAAGGCCCCAAAGCCACCUUGGACAAAGUGGGUGCCCCAGGUAAAUGCUCCUCACUUGCUUGCAUCAGUGAAAUUUUGAAAGCAGAAUCAGGAUUCCCCAAGCAAGAAGGAUAUUUCUUCAGUAAAAUCUGGGCAACGGUAUUCCACAUAAUAACCCAUUCUUCAAAGAACUCUAACUCAGAUUUUAAACUUAAUGAAGUAGAUUAUGGUGGACUUAAUCCUAAUGUCAAAAGUCAGUCAAAAUUAGCAAUGACAAAUCAAUUGGAAUAAUUGGAAUUUUGAUUGAGAAAGGACUGAAAGGUUUGGCUCAGAAGAUGGAAAAUCUGACUAUGUAACAACAGAAUACAGAGACCUCUCCUUAGAUAGUAAUGAAAAAAUAUCUCCUAAGUGAGCCUGGAUGAUUCUUUACAUAUUUCUUGUUCACUCCUUAGAGAACAAUCUCUGUCCCUUAAAAAUAGAAGACAGAGGAGAAAUGUUCUUAAUGCAAUGUUCCAGCUGGAAACAGACUUCCACUUCUUCCUGAUUUAUUUCUUGCACAUCAAAAUUAAAAAUGGCCAGAAUUUCAGAUC